GAUGAACGCUGGCGGCGUGCCUAAUACAUGCAAGUCGAGCGAACAGACGAGGAGCUUGCUCCUCUGACGUUAGCGGCGGACGGGUGAGUAACACGUGGAUAACCUACCUAUAAGACUGGGAUAACUUCGGGAAACCGGAGCUAAUACCGGAUAAUAUAUUGAACCGCAUGGUUCAAUAGUGAAAGACGGUUUUGCUGUCACUUAUAGAUGGAUCCGCGCCGCAUUAGCUAGUUGGUAAGGUAACGGCUUACCAAGGCAACGAUGCGUAGCCGACCUGAGAGGGUGAUCGGCCACACUGGAACUGAGACACGGUCCAGACUCCUACGGGAGGCAGCAGUAGGGAAGCUUCCGCAAUGGGCGGAAGCUUGACGGAGCAACGCCGCGUGAGUGAUGAAGGUCUUCGGAUCGUAAAACUCUGUUAUUAGGGAAGAACAAAUGUGUAAGUAACUAUGCACGUCUUGACGGUACCUAAUCAGAAAGCCACGGCUAACUACGUG
This 497-nucleotide ribosomal RNA is filed under the name uncultured bacterium. RNAcentral's name for it is "partial 16S ribosomal RNA". It matches the Rfam family "Bacterial small subunit ribosomal RNA", at positions 28 to 507 of the family's 1533-position model. The record is from RNAcentral.